GCGCGAAAACUUCGCACUGUGCGAAAGCACGACGAGGGAAUCCCAAGUGCUGGCUCGUAAGAGUCAGCUGUUUUUCUGUCUAAAAAACAGGGAGAGUAAGAGCUGGGUAAGACGGGUGCCAGCCGCCGCGGUAAUACCUGCAGCUCAAGUGGUGGCCGCUAUUAUUGGGCCUAAAACGUCCGUAGCCGGUUUCAUAAAUGCCUGGGUAAAUCAUACGGCUUAACCGUAUGAAUUCCGGGUAGACUGUUUAACUUGAGACCGGGAGAGGCUAGAGGUACUCCUGGGGUAGAGGUGAAAUUCUGUAAUCCUAGGGGGACCACCAGUGGCGAAGGCGUCUAGCUAGAACGGGUCUGACGGUGAGGGACGAAGCCCUGGGGAGCAAACGGGAUUAGAUACCCCGGUAGUCCAGGGUGUAAACGCUGCGGGCUUGGUGUCGGAGGUCCUACGUGGGCGUCCGGUGCCGGAGAGAAAUUGUUAAGCCUGCCGCUUGGGGAGUACGGUCGCAAGACUGAAACUUAAAGGAAUUGGCGGAGAGCACCGCAACGGGAGAGCGUG
Molecule: ribosomal RNA, 555 nt
Filed under: uncultured Thermoplasmatales archaeon
Lineage: Archaea; Methanobacteriati; Thermoplasmatota; Thermoplasmata; Thermoplasmatales
Description: bacterial SSU rRNA
Rfam family: Archaeal small subunit ribosomal RNA
Source: RNAcentral